Helianthus annuus (common sunflower) is the source of this 653-nucleotide long non-coding RNA. RefSeq lists it as uncharacterized. Lineage: Eukaryota; Viridiplantae; Streptophyta; Magnoliopsida; Asterales; Asteraceae. The record is from RefSeq and is a predicted model, not a curated record. The transcript has 2 exons.
CCUUUAAAACCCCAUCCCAUCUUCUCUCUCUCCCUACUAUCCAUCUUCUUUCUCUCUCUAAACCAUCCACCUGCCACUGCCACCACCUAACAUCUAUCGCCACCUAACAACCUCCACCACCUAACAAGCAUUUCUAACGCCCAAUUAUUGGGUUUCAUAUCAGUCUGUGAAACUUAUGGAGCUCAAAAAUCAACCAAAUAUCGAAAAUGAGUACUAUGAUUCGAAACAAAAGAUCUGUAACAUCGGGACGGAUCCGUGUGGGAGGGAGAGGGUGAGAAACAAAGAAACAUCUUUUUUUUUCAGAUCGCCAGAAUAAACGUGAAGGAAAGUUGCGAUGGUGGUGCAUAGCCGUCAGAAUGAGAUGAAGACGAGUGGGGAUACGGUGGUGGCGUCUUGUUGGUGGGAGAGAGUGCCUGUUGCAGAGAUGGCGGCUGUGGAUGGUCGAUUACGGUGCUGGUGACAGUAUGAGUGGAGGUGGUUUCAGAUGGUAGGUUUAGAAAGAGAAAGGGGUGUCGGUGGUGGCUAUCACUAGUGGUGGGGUUUGUUGAAGAGAGAGAGAGAGAGAGUGAAAGCUGGAUAAGAGAUUAUAUUUUUCAUAUAUCUAUAUUGUAUAAUUGUUUUUUUUUUUAAAUCUGAUUUGUUUUAUUGUUUGA